CCUACGGGUGGCAGCAGUGGGGAAUAUUGCACAAUGGGGGAAACCCUGAUGCAGCGACGCCGCGUGAGUGAAGACGUAAUUCGUUAUGUUAAGCUCUAUCAGCAGGGAAGAAAAUGACGCUACCUGAGGAAGAAGCCCCGGCCAACUACGUGCCACCUGCAGCGGUAAUUCGGAGGGGGCAAGCGUUAUCCGGAUUUACUGGGUGUUAAGGGAGCGUAGGCGGCAGGGAAAGGCUGGAGUGAAAGGCGGGGGCUCAACCCCCGGACUGCUCUGGAAACUGUACGGCUUGAGUGCAGGAGAGGUAAGUGGAAUUCCUAGUGUAGCGGUGAAAUGCGUAGAUAUUAGGAGGAACACCAGUGGCGAAGGCGGCUUACUGGACUGUAACUGACGUUGAGGCUCGAAAGCGUGGGGAGCAAACAGGAUUAGAUACCCUAGUAGUC
RNAcentral lists this ribosomal RNA (440 nucleotides) under uncultured bacterium. RNAcentral's name for it is "partial 16S ribosomal RNA". It matches the Rfam family "Bacterial small subunit ribosomal RNA", at positions 338 to 795 of the family's 1533-position model. The record is from RNAcentral.